RNAcentral lists this ribosomal RNA (807 nucleotides) under Bradyrhizobium yuanmingense. RNAcentral describes it as "bacterial SSU rRNA". It matches the Rfam family "Bacterial small subunit ribosomal RNA", at positions 36 to 873 of the family's 1533-position model. The record is from RNAcentral. Lineage: Bacteria; Pseudomonadati; Pseudomonadota; Alphaproteobacteria; Hyphomicrobiales; Nitrobacteraceae.
UUUUAAGCAUCUGCUCUAACACAUGCACUCGAGUUGGGGGUACAAUACGCUCUCCUCGCGACGGGCGACUAACGCGUGGUGACGUACCUUUUGGUUCAGAACCGCACAGGGUAAACUUGUGCUAGUGCCGGACAAGCCCUUACAGGGAAAGAUUUAUCGCCGAAAGAUCGGGCCGCGUCUGAUUAGCUAGGUGGCGAGGUUAUGGCUCACCAAGGCGACCAUCACUAGCUGGCCUGAUAGGAUGAUCAUUCACAUUGGGACUGAGACACGGCCCAAACUCCUACGGGAGGUUGACGUGGGCCAUAUUGUCCAAUGGGGGUAACCCUGAUCCACCCCUGCCACGGGAGUGAUGAAGGCCCUAGGCUUGUAAAGGUCUUUUGUGCCGUAACAUAAUUUCGCCACCGCUCUAAUAAGCCCCGGUUAACUUCGUGCUAGCAGCCGUGGUUAUACGAAUGCGGCUAGCGUUGCUCAUAAUCACUGGCCGUCAAGGGUGCGUAAGCGGGUCUUUAAGUCCGGCGUGAAAUCCUGAAGUUCACCUCCUGAACUGCCUUUGAUGCUGAACAUCUUGAGUUCCGUAGAGGUGAGUGCAACUGCGAGUGUUCACGUGAAAUACUUAUAUAUUCGCUAGAUCACCCGCGGCGAAGUGCGGCUCACUGGCCCGAUACUGACACUUAUUACCGAAAGCAUGGCGGAGCAAAUCGGAUUUUAUAUGCUCGGUAGUCCUAUUCCGUAAACAAAUAAAAGUUUGCCGCUAGUGAGGCUUCCUCCCCCCCGGGGGGAUCCUUGCGCAUUUAGGCCUUCCUCCCG